RNAcentral lists this long non-coding RNA (339 nucleotides) under Homo sapiens (human). RNAcentral's name for it is "non-protein coding lnc-GNG4-3:1". The record is from RNAcentral. Lineage: Eukaryota; Metazoa; Chordata; Mammalia; Primates; Hominidae.
UAAUCAACCUGACACUAGCCCUAGUAACCAACACCUUACUGGCCCUAUUACUAAUAACAAUUGCAUUGCUCCCACAGCGUAAUACUUAUAUAGAAAAAUCCAGCCCCUGUGAAUGCAGAUUUGACCCAAUAGCCUCCGCCUGCCUCCUCUUUUCCAUAAAAUUCUUCCUAGUAGCCAUCACAUUCCUCCUUUUCGACUCAGAGAUCACUCUACUACUACCCCUGCCAUGAGCCCUUCAAAUAACCAACCUGACACUAAUAAUCAGCGCAGCCCUUAUACAAUUACCACUUUAAUCCUAGGCUUGACAUGAAUGAGCCCAAAAAGGAUUAGACCGGGAUG